This 253-nucleotide ribosomal RNA is filed under the name uncultured bacterium. Its description in RNAcentral is "partial 16S ribosomal RNA". It matches the Rfam family "Bacterial small subunit ribosomal RNA", at positions 524 to 776 of the family's 1533-position model. The record is from RNAcentral.
UACAGAGGGUGCGAGCGUUAAUCGGAAUGACUGGGCGUAAAGGGCGCGUAGGCGGUUGGAUGGGUGUGAUGUGAAAGCCCUGGGCUUAACCUAGGAAGCGCAUCGCAAACUAUUUAACUAGAGUAGAUGAGAGGGUGGCGGAAUUUCCGGUGUAGCGGUGAAAUGCGUAGAGAUCGGAAGGAACGUCGAUGGCGAAGGCAGCCACCUGGCAUCAUACUGACGCUGAGGCGCGAAAGCGUGGGGAGCGAACAGG